UACGUAGGGUGCAAGCGUUAAUCGGAAUUACUGGGCGUAAAGCGUGCGCAGGCGGUGAUGUAAGACAGAUGUGAAAUCCCCGGGCUCAACCUGGGAACUGCAUUUGUGACUGCAUCGCUGGAGUGCGGCAGAGGGGGAUGGAAUUCCGCGUGUAGCAGUGAAAUGCAUAGAUAUGCGGAGGAACACCGAUGGCGAAGGCAAUCCCCUGGGCCUGCACUGACGCUCAUGCACGAAAGCGUGGGGAGCAAACAGG
RNAcentral lists this ribosomal RNA (253 nucleotides) under uncultured bacterium. Its description in RNAcentral is "partial 16S ribosomal RNA". It matches the Rfam family "Bacterial small subunit ribosomal RNA", at positions 524 to 776 of the family's 1533-position model. The record is from RNAcentral.